Molecule: ribosomal RNA, 255 nt
Filed under: uncultured bacterium
Lineage: Bacteria
Description: partial 16S ribosomal RNA
Rfam family: Bacterial small subunit ribosomal RNA
Source: RNAcentral
UACGAAGGGGGCUAGCGUUGCUCGGAAUUACUGGGCGUAAAGCGCACGUAGGCGGAUCGCUAAGUCAGGGGUGAAAUCCUGGAGCUCAACUCCAGAACUGCCUUUGAUACUGGCAAUCUCGAGUCCGGGGAGAGGUGAGUGGAACUGCGAGUGUAGAGGUGAAAUUCGUAGAUAUUCGCAAGAACACCAGUGGCGAAGGCGGCUGACUGGUCCGGUUCUGACGCUGAGGCGCGAAAAGCGUGGGGAGCAAACAGG